AGGACAUUACAGUGUUUUGCGGCGCGCGUAGGCUGCUAACCCGGCACACCGCGCCGCUAAAACCCCACCCUUGACUACUGUACCGUCUGUUGCUUCGGCGGGCCCGCCCUCGGGCCGCCGGGGGAUCCCUCCCCUGGCCCGCGCCCGCCGGAGACAAAUCUGAACCCUAUUGUGAAUAUUGGCUGUCUGAGUAAGAUUUUAAAUCAUUUAAAACUUUCAACAAUGGAUCUCUUGGUUCCGGCAUCGAUGAAGAACGCAGCGAAAUGCGAUAAGUAAUGUGAAUUGCAGAAUUCCGUGAAUCAUCGAAUCUUUGAACGCACAUUGCGCCCCCUGGUAUUCCGGGGGGCAUGCCUGUCCGAGCGUCAUUGCAACCUUCAAGCGCGGCUUGUGUAUUGGGCCUCGUCCCCCGUGGACGGGCCUGAAAGGCAGUGGCGGUACCGAUUUCGGUGCCUGAGCGUAUGGGGAUCAUCUCCGCUCUUUAGGCCCGGUCGGCGCCCGUCGUCACCAAAUUUUUUACCGGUUGACCUCGGAUCAAGUAGGGAUACCCGCUGAA
This 553-nucleotide ribosomal RNA is filed under the name Malbranchea concentrica. RNAcentral's name for it is "eukaryotic LSU rRNA". The stretch from base 212 to 365 matches the Rfam family "5.8S ribosomal RNA". Lineage: Eukaryota; Fungi; Ascomycota; Eurotiomycetes; Onygenales; Malbrancheaceae. The record is from RNAcentral.